GAUGAACGCUAGCGGCAGGCUUAACACAUGCAAGUCGAGGGGUAUUGGUUUUCGGACCAAGAGACCGGCGCACGGGUGCGUAACGCGUAUGCAAUCUACCUUUUGCAGAGGGAUAGCCCAGAGAAAUUUGGAUUAAUACCUCAUAGUAUAGUACCUUGGCAUCAAGGAACUAUUAAAGUCACAACGGCAAAAGAUGAGCAUGCGUCCCAUUAGCUAGUUGGUAAGGUAACGGCUUACCAAGGCGACGAUGGGUAGGGGUCCUGAGAGGGAGAUCCCCCACACUGGUACUGAGACACGGACCAGACUCCUACGGGAGGCAGCAGUGAGGAAUAUUGGACAAUGGGCGCAAGCCUGAUCCAGCCAUGCCGCGUGCAGGAUGACGGUCCUAUGGAUUGUAAACUGCUUUUAUACAGGAAGAAACACUGGUUCGUGAACCAGCUUGACGGUACUGUAAGAAUAAGGAUCGGCUAACUCCGUGCCAGCAGCCGCGGUAA
RNAcentral lists this ribosomal RNA (494 nucleotides) under uncultured bacterium. RNAcentral describes it as "bacterial SSU rRNA". It matches the Rfam family "Bacterial small subunit ribosomal RNA", at positions 28 to 523 of the family's 1533-position model. The record is from RNAcentral.